GACGGAGGGUGCAAGCGUUGCUCGGAAUCAUUGGGCGUAAAGGGUGCGUAGGCGGCUUCUUAAGUCUGACGUGAAAGCCCAGGGCCCAGCCUUGGAAGUGCGUCAGAAACUGAGAAGCUUGAGUGCCGGAGGGGAGAGUGGAAUUCCUGGUGUAGCGGUGAAAUGCGUAGAUAUCAGGAGGAAUACCGGUGGCGAAAGCGACUCUCUGGACGGCAACUGACGCUGAGGCACGAAAGCGUGGGUAGCAAACAGG
RNAcentral lists this ribosomal RNA (253 nucleotides) under uncultured bacterium. RNAcentral describes it as "partial 16S ribosomal RNA". It matches the Rfam family "Bacterial small subunit ribosomal RNA", at positions 524 to 776 of the family's 1533-position model. The record is from RNAcentral.